GGACGGUCAGAAAAUAUCCGGACUUUUCAUGCUCCUCUCUUUCCACGUGCAGCUAUAUACACACAUUAUAUAUUGGUGAAAACUACAUUCAUUCGCCAAUAACGUGGUCAGUUUAUUUUCAAUGAUAGUUGUGUAUACACAGUAUUUUGCUCUCUGAUAUAUGAUAGGUGUUUCGUCUAUUAUGGACUCUUUGUUAGAGUAACAACGCUCUGUAAUAAAGUUUCUGGUUGCAGAAGCCCUGCCACAUCUUUCAGAGGCUUAAAAAAGAUUUUCUGAUAAAUGUGUAUCACGUUCAACCUUCUACAACUGGGUUUCUCAGUUUCGUGAAGGCAGAACAAGUGUUUGUGACAGGCCUAGGACUGGGCGGCCAGCUGAGGCGGUGACCCCAACAAUGGUAGCAAAUGUUAAAGCUUUUGUCAACAAAAAUCGUCGAGUAACUUUGGAGGAGGUAGCCAACAAGUUUAGCAUCGGUAAGGCAUCAGCACACAAGAUUUUACACGAAUACCUAGGCAU
Molecule: long non-coding RNA, 513 nt
Organism: Ruditapes philippinarum (Manila clam)
Lineage: Eukaryota; Metazoa; Mollusca; Bivalvia; Venerida; Veneridae
Exons: 2
Source: RefSeq, a predicted model, not a curated record